Molecule: non-coding RNA, 45 nt
Filed under: Schistosoma curassoni
Lineage: Eukaryota; Metazoa; Platyhelminthes; Trematoda; Strigeidida; Schistosomatidae
Source: RNAcentral
AUCUAGUUGAUGAGUCUCAAAUAGGACGAAACAUACAUCGUGGAU